CAGAUUAUAGCUUAUUACAAAGUUGAUUAGUUACAUUAAUUAGAAGGUUUAUUAAUUUAUUCUGA
RNAcentral lists this transfer RNA (65 nucleotides) under Sinocentrus brevicornis. RNAcentral describes it as "tRNA-Val". Lineage: Eukaryota; Metazoa; Arthropoda; Insecta; Hemiptera; Membracidae. The record is from RNAcentral.